This 132-nucleotide small RNA is filed under the name Trabulsiella odontotermitis. RNAcentral's name for it is "RtT RNA". It matches the Rfam family "RtT RNA". Rfam says of the family: This family represents a bacterial cis-regulatory element known as RtT RNA. The exact function of RtT is unknown although it is thought that it may be involved in changing the cellular response in relation to amino acid starvation. Lineage: Bacteria; Pseudomonadati; Pseudomonadota; Gammaproteobacteria; Enterobacterales; Enterobacteriaceae. The record is from RNAcentral.
UUACAUCUGAAGCCUGAGAGGAUGAGAACCUCCGGGGGAAGAGGUUCGACUCGAGCGAAGCGAGAGAACGUUGCGCAGCAACGGCCCGAAGGGCGAGCCACGCAGUGGCGAGUCAUCCUCUAUCACCGACCA